CACAAAAAGAGCACUAGAAGGAAAAAGUCACAAAAAUAACAUUCAUUAAUAGGUAAAAUGUCUUUACUAUCCUUGUUUUAUAAUUAAUAAAAAAUAAAAAAAAAUCUCAGAUCUUCACGAUGGGGAAGACGACGAACUUGAAUCCCAUUUUUCUUCCAUCAACUCCGGCGAAGAACAUUCUCAUCAUCUCCAACGUCAUCUCCGUCAAAGACGUCAGAUUAUAGUAUCCUAAAAAACCUCAGAGAUCAUCGUCGACGACGACAAAAUUCUCUCACAAAUCGAUCACGAGGUCAUCUCCGUCGAAGACGCCGGAGACACUAUCACGUACGAGAAGGCUGCAGUGGAGAUGAGCAGCCACGUCCCUCAUGUGGUUCUUCCCAAGAUUGAUGCAAGCGAGGAAACAAACAAACAAACAAACAUUCAGAGGUUCAGGGAUUCCCAACUAUCAAGAUUUUCGGAAACAGAGGCAAAGCUGUUCAGAAAUACAACAGACCUUGUGAAGCUGAUGGUAUUGUUACUUACUUGAAGAAACAAAGCGGACAUGCUUCUGUUGAGAUCAAGUCCAGUGAUGAUGCUGUUGAGGUUGUUGGUUAUAAGAAGGUUGUUGUUGUAACUAUCUCAUAACAACUAUGUUCCCAUGAUUUGAUCAUCUGUGUAUGGUAGUAGUCAAGUAACAGGAUUGUUCAUUAUUUUACUACUUUGUUUUUUUUUUUCGAUUUCAGGAAGAGUUUUAUAGUUUCA
This is a long non-coding RNA of Raphanus sativus (radish), 741 nucleotides long. RefSeq lists it as uncharacterized. Lineage: Eukaryota; Viridiplantae; Streptophyta; Magnoliopsida; Brassicales; Brassicaceae. The record is from RefSeq and is a predicted model, not a curated record. The transcript is spliced from 2 exons.